This 447-nucleotide ribosomal RNA is filed under the name uncultured Rhodocyclaceae bacterium. Its description in RNAcentral is "bacterial SSU rRNA". It matches the Rfam family "Bacterial small subunit ribosomal RNA", at positions 936 to 1382 of the family's 1533-position model. The record is from RNAcentral. Lineage: Bacteria; Pseudomonadati; Pseudomonadota; Betaproteobacteria; Rhodocyclales; Rhodocyclaceae.
AUGAUGUGGAUUAAUCGAUGCAACGCGAAAAACCUUUACCUACCCUUGACAUGUCCGGAAUCCCGAAGAGAUUUGGGAGUGCUCGCAAGAGAGCCGGAACACAGGUGCUGCAUGGCUGUCGUCAGCUCGUGUCGUGAGAUGUUGGGUUAAGUCCCGCAACGAGCGCAACCCUUGUCAUUAGUUGCCAUCAUUUGGUUGGGCACUCUAAUGAGACUGCCGGUGACAAACCGGAGGAAGGUGGGGAUGACGUCAAGUCCUCAUGGCCCUUAUGGGUAGGGCUUCACACGUAAUACAAUGGUCGGUACAGAGGGUUACCAAGCCGCGAGGUGGAGCCAAUCCCAGAAAGCCGAUCGUAGUCCGGAUCGCAGUCUGCAACUCGACUGCGUGAAGUCGGAAUCGCUAGUAAUCGUGGAUCAGCAUGUCACGGUGAAUACGUUCCCGGGUCUU